This 403-nucleotide ribosomal RNA is filed under the name bacterium. Its description in RNAcentral is "partial 16S ribosomal RNA". It matches the Rfam family "Bacterial small subunit ribosomal RNA", at positions 355 to 776 of the family's 1533-position model. The record is from RNAcentral.
UGGGGAAUAUUGCACAAUGGAGGGAACUCUGAUGCAGCGACGCCGCGUGAACGAAGAAGGCUUUCGAGUCGUAAAGUUCUUUUAUAUGGGAAGAUAAUGACGGUACCAUAAGAAAAAGCCCCGGCUAACUACGUGCCAGCAGCCGCGGUAAUACGUAGGGGGCUAGCGUUGUCCGGAAUCACUGGGCGUAAAGGGUUCGCAGGCGGAAAUGCAAGUCAGGUGUAAAAGGCAGUAGCUUAACUACUGGAAGCAUUUGAAACUGCAUAUCUUGAGAAGGGUAGAGGUAAGUGGAAUUUUUGGUGUAGCGGUGAAAUGCGUAGAUAUUAAAAAGAAUACCGGUGGCGAAGGCGACUUACUGGGCUCAUUCUGACGCUGAGGAACGAAAGCGUGGGUAGCAAACAGG